This 380-nucleotide unclassified non-coding RNA is filed under the name uncultured Corticiales. RNAcentral's name for it is "sequence contains ITS1". The stretch from base 1 to 105 matches the Rfam family "5.8S ribosomal RNA", at positions 50 to 154 of the family's 154-position model. The record is from RNAcentral. Lineage: Eukaryota; Fungi; Basidiomycota; Agaricomycetes.
GAAAUGCGAUAAGUAAUGUGAAUUGCAGAAUUCAGUGAAUCAUCGAAUCUUUGAACGCACCUUGCGCUCCUUGGUAUUCCGAGGAGCAUGCCUGUUUGAGUGUCAUGAAUAUCUCAAUCUUGGAUUUUUUUUAAACGAAGAAUCCAAGACUUGGACUUGGAGGCUGCUGGCGUCUGUCAGCUCCUCUCUAAAUGCAUUAGCAGAGUCUUUCGAGAUGCUGCCUCGGUGUGAUAAUUGUCUACACCGUGUGUAUGCGUCUUGCUUGUUGCUACCCCGCUUGAACAAGGCGGUUGUGUGGCUGGGACAAAGCUUCUAACUGUCUGUGAAGACAAUCUCUGACAUCUGACCUCAAAUCAGGUAGGAUUACCCGCUGAACUUAA